This 1963-nucleotide ribosomal RNA is filed under the name human gut metagenome. RNAcentral describes it as "bacterial LSU rRNA". It matches the Rfam family "Bacterial large subunit ribosomal RNA", at positions 3 to 1989 of the family's 2925-position model. The record is from RNAcentral.
UUAAGUAAGGAAGGGCGUACGGCGAAUGCCUGGCCACUCGAAACUGAAGAAGGACGCGCCAAACUGCGAAAAGCUCCGUGAAGCUGUAAGGAAGCGAAGAAGCGGAGGUGUCCGAAUGGGGGAACCCGGCAGCAGACAUGAGCUGUCAUCUGCAGGUGAAUACAUGGCCUGCAAGAGAGGUACCCGGCGAACUGAAACAUCUAAGUAGCCGGAGGAAAAGAAAACAACAGUGAUUCCCUGAGUAGCGGCGAGCGAAAGGGGAGAAGCCCAAACCGGUCCAAGGACCGGGGUUGAAGGACCAUGAUAUGGCAAGAGAGAGGAUAGAAGAACGGGAUCGAAAGCCCGGCCGAAGAAGGUGCAAGCCCUGUAUUUGAAAUCUGAUUGAAGCCUAAUGGGAUCCUGAGUACGGCGAGACACGAGGAAUCUUGUCGGAAGCAGGCGGGACCAUCCGCCAAGGCUAAAUAUAAACGAGUGAGCGAUAGUGAACCAGUACCGUGAGGGAAAGGUGAAAAGAACCGCGGGAGCGGAGUGAAAGAGAACCUGAAACCGUAUGCCUACAAGAAGUCAGAGCCCGUUAAGGGGUGAUGGCGUGCCUUUUGUAGAAUGAACCGGCGAGUUGCGACAGACUGCGAGGUUAAGGAGGAAAGACCGGAGCCGAAGCGAAAGCGAGUCUUAAGAGGGCGAAAGUAGGAUGUUGCAGACCCGAAACCGGGUGAUCUAGCCAUGAGCAGGUUGAAGUUGAGGUGAAACUCAAUGGAGGACCGAACCGACUACCGUUGAAAAGUUAGCGGAUGACUUGUGGCUAGGGGAGAAAUUCCAAUCGAACCCGGAGAUAGCUGGUUCUCCCCGAAAUAGCUUUAGGGCUAGCGUUGGAAAGAACCUUAGUGAAGGUAGAGCACUGAAUGUGUGAUGGCCCCAUCCCGGGGUACUGAAUACAAUCAAACUGCGAAUGUCAUUAAGGAUGUCCGGCAGUCAGACUGUGAGUGAUAAGGUCCAUGGUCAAGAGGGAAACAGCCCAGACCGCCAGUUAAGGUCCCAAAAUACAGGCUAAGUGGAAAAGGAUGUGGGGAUGCCCAGACAACUAGGAGGUUGGCUCAGAAGCAGCCAUCCUUUAAAGAGUGCGUAACAGCUCACUAGUCGAGUGACCCUGCGCCGAAAAUGUACCGGGGCUAAGCCUGAUACCGAAACUGCGGAUUGUAGGAAACUAUAGUGGUAGGGGAGCGUUGUAUACGAGUAGAAGCCGUACCGUGAGGAGCGGUGGAUUGUAUAGAAGUGAGAAUGCCGGUGUGAGUAGCGAGAUGUAGGUGAGAAUCCUACACACCGAAAGCCCAAGGAUUCCAGGGGAAGGUUCGUCCGCCCUGGGUAAGUCGGGACCUAACGCGAGGCCGAAAGGCGUAGUGGAUGGAAAGCAGGCGAAAGAUUCCUGCACCCGUAUAUGGAGCGAAGGAGUGACGGAGACGGAUAGUGUGACCCUCUUAAUGGAUUGAGGGCGAAGCGAAGCGGCUGGUUACCAGGCAAAUCCGGUAACUGAAAGGCUAGAGCGUGACAGGCAAGCGAAAUCUUAGGAAAGUAGCGAAGCACAUGAUGACGGCUUCCAGGAAAAGCUUCUGGCAAUGCAUAUGCGGCCCGUACCAAAACCGACACAGGUGGGCAGGGAGAGAAUCCCGAGGUGAGCGAGAGAACUGUUGCCAAGGAACUCGGCAAAAUGACUCCGUAAGUUAGCGAGAAGGAGUGCUUAAGCAAUUAAGCCGCAGUGAAGAGGCCCAAGCGACUGUUUAACUAAAACACAGCUCUCUGCGAAGUCGCAAGACGAAGUAUAGGGGGUGACACCUGCCCGGUGCUGGAAGGUUAAGAGGAUCUGUUAAGAGCGAUCUGAAGCAGUGAUCCGAAGCCCCAGUGAACGGCGGCCGUAACUAUAACGGUCCUAAGGUAGCGAAAUUCCUUGUCAGGUAAGUUCUGACCC